AUGGUGACAUUCAUUGCAGUGUAUGUAUAUGUGAGCCAAUAGUGCAAGCCUGAAAUGUACUGUACAGGGGAGGAAAACCUCCCUGUCCUCAUUGAGAUGCAUCUGAGAGUGUUGCUCUGCUGAAGGGGAAUCCCGGUUUCAAACGGAGGAAACCCUGGCUCAGCCUUACCUGCCAGAGGAGAAGGAGCUGAAACAGGUGGAAAACAGUGUGUGUGUAUAUUUAUAUAUAUAUGAGAGAGAAAUCAGGAAAAGGCCUCCAUUCUGGCUGUCCAGUAUUUUGGAAUGAAUGAAAACUUCUGAUUUAGUGCCAUGCCCAUUUGGGCAUUUUAUAGCCGGAGAUUGUUAUGAUGCUGGGCUGCUGCUUACAGCUCUGUGAUGGUGGAGCUUUCUUUGGGAGGAGGGAAGAUAUAUAUAAGUGGAACCCUCUGCUGCCUCUUUUCAAAAUGGUAAGCCCCCAACCCCUGGGCGCGUGCACACACACACACACACACACACACACACACACGAGCUAGGAUAAUACAUCAUCUUCCCCCAACCCUCACCCCCACAAAUAGAAGUUACUUAAGGCCUCAUUUUCCUCCCAUCCUCAACCCCACCCCCCACCAAUACUGCCGGACUCAUUCUCGGUGAUUACAAGUAUCUCUCCCAGAGCAAAUAAUUAUAGAAUUAAAACCCAAUCCUUUUGGUCCCUUAAUAGCUUUAGCCAAUCUGUCAGCGUCUGCCUCUGUGCGAUGGGGGAAGAAGAGGCAGGAGAGAGCUGUUAUGUAAGACCUCAGCGGCACGUGAACUCCCUUCCUCAUCACUAGUCACAUCCCUGAGAGAGCUUUCCUCUCCGGAACCUUCCAAACUACCCACCACCAUCAUCCAGCCGCAUGCCAAGGCAGGGCUUGAAGAUUCAAUUACGGAGGGAACUGGCCGGCCUGGUGUAGAUGGUGCUUUGCUUCCCCACAGACUUUACAGGCUUGCUGUCAUCUUCUCCAGCUGUGCUGGUGCCGCUGCAAUAUUCCAACAGCCUGCUGUAGGGUGUGGGGUGCUGGCUGUCUACUGCAAGAGGAAAGAGAAUCCAUUGGGACUCAUUUCAGAAAAAUGCAGGUUUGUGCAUAUCCCCACAACUACAGUCAGAAAGAAUUAAGAAGCGGCAAGUUUCACCUUCUUGAAAUGAGAAAUGAGAAACGCAAAAACUUGUUUAAAGGCCAUCUCUAAAAACGACAACUGAGAGUGACAACCAAGCUGGUAAGAUGAGACUUCUAACAAGACCAGUCUAUAUUGAUGAGCAGCAUGCACUAGACUUUCAAGCACUCUCAACAAUGCUUGAUGGCAAAUUAUAUCAUCCCUUGCCCACAUUAUUCUGCUGGAAAAUUCUCCUGUUCCCAGAAAGAAAUGCAAUUUGACAGAAAUGUACGAAUUAAAAGGAACAAAAUGUAAUUAAAAUGGCGAUAGCACAUAAUCUGGUAACCCA
Molecule: long non-coding RNA, 1459 nt
Organism: Podarcis muralis (Common wall lizard)
Lineage: Eukaryota; Metazoa; Chordata; Lepidosauria; Squamata; Lacertidae
Source: RefSeq, a predicted model, not a curated record